This 74-nucleotide transfer RNA is filed under the name Ovis aries (sheep). It matches the Rfam family "tRNA". Rfam says of the family: Transfer RNA (tRNA) molecules are approximately 80 nucleotides in length. Their secondary structure includes four short double-helical elements and three loops (D, anti-codon, and T loops). Further hydrogen bonds mediate the characteristic L-shaped molecular structure. tRNAs have two regions of fundamental functional importance: the anti-codon, which is responsible for specific mRNA codon recognition, and the 3' end, to which the tRNAs corresponding amino acid is attached (by aminoacyl-tRNA synthetases). tRNAs cope with the degeneracy of the genetic code in two manners: having more than one tRNA (with a specific anti-codon) for a particular amino acid; and 'wobble' base-pairing, i.e. permitting non-standard base-pairing at the 3rd anti-codon position. Lineage: Eukaryota; Metazoa; Chordata; Mammalia; Artiodactyla; Bovidae. The record is from Rfam by way of RNAcentral.
UCCCUGGUGGUCCAGUGGGUUAAGACUCUGUACUUUCACUGCCAAGGGCCUGGGUUCAAUCCCUGGUCUGGGAA